This 500-nucleotide ribosomal RNA is filed under the name uncultured bacterium. RNAcentral's name for it is "partial 16S ribosomal RNA". It matches the Rfam family "Bacterial small subunit ribosomal RNA", at positions 30 to 523 of the family's 1533-position model. The record is from RNAcentral.
AUUGAACGCUGGCGGAAUGCUUUACACAUGCAAGUCGAACGGCAGCACGGACUUCGGUCUGGUGGCGAGUGGCGAACGGGUGAGUAAUGUAUCGGAACGUGCCCAGUCGUGGGGGAUAACGUAGUGAAAAUUACGCUAAUACCGCAUACGAUCUAUGGAUGAAAGCGGGGGAUCGCAAGACCUCGCGCGAUUGGAGCGGCCGAUAUCAGAUUAGGUAGUUGGUGGGGUAAAGGCCCACCAAGCCAACGAUCUGUAGCUGGUCUGAGAGGACGACCAGCCACACUGGAACUGAGACACGGUCCAGACUCCGACGGGAGGCAGCAGUAGGGAAUUUUGGACAAUGGGCGAAAGCCUGAUCCAGCCAUUCCGCGUGCAGGAUGAAGGCCCUCGGGUUGUAAACUGCUUUUGUACAGAACGAAAAGGUUUCUACUAAUACUAGGAGCUCAUGACGGUACUGUAAGAAUAAGCACCGGCUAACUACGUGCCAGCCGCCACGGUAA